Molecule: transfer RNA, 65 nt
Filed under: Asotana magnifica
Lineage: Eukaryota; Metazoa; Arthropoda; Malacostraca; Isopoda; Cymothoidae
Description: tRNA-Ser
Source: RNAcentral
GAACAAGAGUAAUCAAGCUAUGACUUCUAAUCUAAAAGCUUACUGCAAUGUUUGUUACUUGUUUG